This 1043-nucleotide long non-coding RNA is filed under the name Mus musculus (house mouse). Its description in RNAcentral is "RIKEN cDNA 4930500H12 gene". Lineage: Eukaryota; Metazoa; Chordata; Mammalia; Rodentia; Muridae. The record is from RNAcentral.
GUGGCGCCACCUCUGUUUGUAAACUCCAAUCCAGAGCUGUAGUUGUUUCUCCUUUUGGCCCUACACUGUAGAACCAAAGCCGUGCCCAACAGAAGUAGCCUCACCCUGAGUGUCUGAAGCCAGUAUACACGUGAUGAAUUGUUUCCAGCUCAGGAGGUAUGAAACAUCAUAUUAUCAGGAAUAGAAGAACAAACUUCUAAAAGUUCUAGUUUAUAUCAUUCUCUACAGGAAUAUGCUCAAGAAGGACACUUUGCAGCCCAGUAGAAAAGAAUAUGCAAUCAAUCUGUGGGGAACAAAGUCAAUAUUUUGGAAAAACGAAACCUAGCUUAAGAGGAAAAGCCAUUCAUUCAUUUAUGUCCACAUCAACUGUUCACUGAGUGUCAAGUACUUACGUGGUAGUGGUUGUCACUACAGGAACCUAAGCUUUGCUUCCUAUCAGACUCACACGUGUUCAGGCAUAACUUGAGGGACUGGCAGGGAGCAGGCAGGAAUAAGUGUUUGCAUGGAGGAUCAGAAAACCUCCUUGAAAAAUAAAAAUUCAUCCUAGGGGGAAAUAAAAGGUCGAGAAGGGUGAGUUCGGUUAAAGGGAUGCUGGCAAAUCCUAAAUCCAGAAGGAAGACGAGAUUCUGAGCAUGCCGCGUGCCUCUGAAAUGUGACAUCAUCCAAAUCUCAUUAUCUAACAUGAUUAAAGUUGUUGGAUGUCAGGGCUGAAUCAUAAGCGAGCAUGUGCGACUCAGAAGAGCCAGUGCUCUGUGAUUGCUGUGAGGCGAGAAGAGACGAGCAGGAGGCAUUGGCAACGUUGGGGCCAUGGUGCUUGCAGCAUUAGUGGCACACAGAACUGGCAAGGAUCAUGAUGGGGAUGCCAGCCCCAGUGACGGCUGCUGCUUCUGUGACCAAGGCACUGAGAAACAUGACCUUGGCAAUGCCAAUGUAAUCGCUACAUUCCCCUCUCCUGUCCUUUUAGGAUGGCACCAUAGAAGAAAAGAAGAGCCAGUGAGAAUUUCUCCAUUUCCUUCCUAGAUGAUUAAAUUCUUUUCUAAAGC